This 76-nucleotide unclassified non-coding RNA is filed under the name Pedobacter xixiisoli. RNAcentral describes it as "Flavo-1 RNA". Lineage: Bacteria; Pseudomonadati; Bacteroidota; Sphingobacteriia; Sphingobacteriales; Sphingobacteriaceae. The record is from RNAcentral.
GCUUAAACCCGAUAACAGCGGAUACCGGCCUUGUGGUGAAGGCCUGAAGGCGUAUGAGCGAAUAGCGGGGUUAAUG